RNAcentral lists this ribosomal RNA (459 nucleotides) under uncultured bacterium. RNAcentral's name for it is "partial 16S ribosomal RNA". It matches the Rfam family "Bacterial small subunit ribosomal RNA", at positions 338 to 795 of the family's 1533-position model. The record is from RNAcentral.
CCUACGGGAGGCAGCAGUGAGGAAUAUUGGUCAAUGGGCGCGAGCCUGAACCAGCCAAGUAGCGUGAAGGAUGACUGCCCUACGGGUUGUAAACUUCUUUUAUAAAGGAAUAAAGUGUGGCAUGUAUGCCUUUUUGCAUGUACUUUAUGCAUAAGGAUCGGCUCACUCAGUGCCAGCAGCCGCGGUAAUACGGAGGAUGCGAGCGUUAUCCGGAUUUAUUGGGUUUAAAGGGUGCGCAGGCGGAAGAUCAAGUCAGCGGUAAAAUUGAGAGGCUCAACCUCUUCGAGCCGUUGAAACUGGUGUUCUUGAGUGAGCUAGAAGUAUGCAGAAUGCGUGGUGUAGCGGUGAAAUGCAUAGAGAUCACGCAGAACUCCGAUUGCGAAGGCAGCAUACCGGCGCUCAACUGACGCUCAUGCACGAAAGUGUGGGUAUCGAACAGGAUUAGAUACCCUUGUAGUC